AAGGUAAAAUAAUUUUUAUUGAACCUUGAAGGAUUACAUAUUCGUAAUUUAUAUAAAGAAAUCAUUGUCAUAAAGAAGUACUAUUAUCAUAGUAUAUUGAGAAGCAUUAUGAUAUAGAAGUACCUUUUGCAAUCAAAAAAUAUGGAAAAUAAUAACAUCUUAACUAUCUAUUUAGUCGGUAUCAAUGAACCAGAACGCUAUUUAAUUAAUACAUGAAGAAGGCUUUUCAAGAAUAUGCUAGUAGUAGAUGUCAAAAAAAAAAAAGAAUGCUAGUAGUAAAAAACACCCUCAAAAAAGAAAAAGAAAAAAGAAUGCUAGUAAAAAACUUGUUGUCUAUUAAACAGAUUUUCGAAGCACUUACCUUAUCUACUUUAAUUACAAAAGAUAAAAUAGAAAAAGAAAGAAAAGCCCAACUGAAUUAAAAGACUUCUCUCUUCAGCCCUCCUUCCCCACAGAUGUGAUCCUCGGUAGGGGUGGACCGAUACAGUAUGCCGAUUUUUUUUUCGUCAUACUGUAUAUCAUACUAUAAAUUAUAGUAUGAGAAUUUUUAUACCGUUGUCGUACCGAAUCCUUCGGUAUACCAAAGAUCGGCAUACUGAAAUUUUGGUAUGAACUUUUCUCAUGUCGGUAUUAUAUUGAUAGUGCGGUAUACCAUAUCGAAAGUCGGUAUACCGUACUUUACGAUGUAUCAAAAUUAUUUGUAUAUCAUUUCAUGUUUAAAUUUACCAAAAUAUUACGAUAUACUGUGUAUUUAUGCAUACCAAAAUUUCAUUAAACAAAUAUAAAUAAGCUUCUAACAAGUCUAGAAUUAUAUGUGUGUGUAUAUAUAUGUAAUUUAUUUCAAUCAGUACAGUAUACCAAUUAUUUUAAUAUAUACCGGUAUAUACUAAAACAACAAUUUAUACUUAUUUUUUAAUGUAUACUGCGAUAUCGGUAUAUAUCGGUAUACCGUGAUAUGAGAAAAAUUGAUACUGUUGUCGCACCAAAGAAUUUCGGUACGGUACAAUAUACAGUACCAUAAUUUACGGUAUACAAAAAAUUCGAUAUUUUCAACAUUUUUUCAAUACGAUAAGAGGGCAUUUACUUGACAUGAUUGACUAUAUGUAGGAUUGAGUAUUUUCAUCCUUGAUAGUAGGAUAUCUUCAAUCCCACCAUUUUCAUGGGAUAAAGAAUCAAACAAAACUAACUUGAAUGAUAUAAAUAAUCAAGGGUUUUGAGAUAUCUCAAAAUUGCAAUUCAUCAAAGUAAACAAGAGCUUAGCCUUACUAUUUUUAUCUAUCAAAUUUAAUUCUCCAAAGUAAACACCCCGCAAGUGCGGUAUACCGAUUUUUCGGUAUUUUAGUCCAAAAUCGGUAGCCUCGAAGCUCCAAUUUCCCGUUUGAUUAGAUUGGAGGCGGCAGAGGGAGAUGAAACCAAUACCAUUAGCACCGGGCGAGGAAGUCGCACCCAAGCUCGUUCGACUUCUCUACUUUGUCGGCGCCGGAGGUACACACUAUCUUCACUUAUUCUUCAAUUCAUGUACACUUUCUCUACUUUUAAACUGGCGACCUUUUUUCCUUAAGUUGUUUGCACUGCCGCGAUUAACAAGUGGAAAGAAUAUGAAAAAAAAUCCAUGAUUCAGAAGGAGCAACAAAUGAAUGAAUCGUCUCCGCAAAAUUCGUCGGCUGUUGAAUGAACUUCAGUUUUGUUUCCUUCUUUUAAUAACAGUGAUUUGUUUGGAUUGUGGAACCUCAGAUACAUGGAGUCUUUUAUCAAGUAUUUUUGUAGUUGUUAGGAAUUCAUGUCAACAAACGUAAUGAAAGAAAUUGUUGGUUGGUUCACUGCAUACCUUUAUUAUAAGUGAGGAAGUCGGCUCAGAACUCCAAUCCUAACUUCUGUUCCUUUUGAUGCGCACCAAUCGAAAGUUUGGAUUCUGUUUCGUUUAUAGUUUUGUUAGAGUAAAUAUCUGAUCUAAAAGCUAGCUUUCUUGUCUUGGUUAUUUUGUACAUCGUCACUUGUAUUACUGAGGUUGAUAGAGCUUGCUGUUUUUCAUCAUUAACUGCGAAGUUGCUUGCUAGAGCUGAUUGUUUUGACAUUGAAAGACUCGUAAGAAUAUAUGAAUCUCAUCUGUGCAAGGAUAUAUCUAUAAAUUCAGUUGCACAAGUACUUGUUUUUCAGAGCGUUAUCAUGCUGCAGAAUUGCAAGAUGUUUGCCUUAAGUUUGCCGCUAAGAAUCUGACAGGUUAAACUUUGGGUUGAGAAUGGGAUGGUCUUCUCUCUCUUUUAGUGCAGCCUCAACAAGUUUUGACUGACAUUUCAUGGUUGAACGAUUUGAGCGUCCUUAUCAGAAGAGGAGAGACAUUCUGCAGAGGGAUUUAUAUAGCCGUAGCCUAUGCCGGCAGCGGAGUUGCAGUAAGUCUCGACGGUGCCAUCGCUGCUCUGCAAGUUGAUGUUGUUAAGAAUGAUGUGAGUGCAUGGGACUGUGUCGCUGCAUGCGAAUCUCAUGGCCUUUUGGCUUCUCGAUGUCCCAGUUAUGUUGCGGUACAUGAUCUGUGUUAUAUUCACUGCAGACGUCUGAUGAAACGAGCUUGUUAAGUCUUAUCGUAUGAGUUGCUUAGAGGUGUCAAACAUGGGCCGUACAUGUACCUGGUUUUCGCAAGAUUUUGGUGAGUCGCAGUAGAAUUGGUCUAUGAUGAUGGGGUUGGUCACAUUUUCCAUCCUCACGUCUUGAUAGCGCACUGCACGCACGUGGCCGGAGCCUCCCUGCCAAGUCUUGAUCCUGAGACCGUUGGUGGUGCCUCGGAGGAAGGCCUUGUCCACCACCACGCUCUCUACGAUGCCGGUGCUGUUGUCCUUUCCUAGGCUGCCAAUGCUGCAGUUUUAGCUAAAGUUAGUCUCCCACAAGUUUGAUAAAAAAUGGUUUCAAACUGUUUAUUUUGAGAGAGAGAGAGGUAAGAGUGUAAGUUAACCUAAUUCCAUGGCCUGGUCCACAAAAGAUAUUCUUCAUCUUGA
Long non-coding RNA from Salvia miltiorrhiza (redroot sage), 2990 nucleotides. RefSeq lists it as uncharacterized. Lineage: Eukaryota; Viridiplantae; Streptophyta; Magnoliopsida; Lamiales; Lamiaceae. The transcript has 3 exons. The record is from RefSeq and is a predicted model, not a curated record.